This is a non-coding RNA of Pangasianodon gigas (Mekong giant catfish), 72 nucleotides long. Lineage: Eukaryota; Metazoa; Chordata; Actinopteri; Siluriformes; Pangasiidae. The record is from the annotation of a GenBank genome assembly.
UCCCUGGAAGACUAAUGGUUAGGCCUCGGCACUCUCACCGCCAUUGCCUGGGUUCGACUCCCAGCCAGAUAA